Molecule: ribosomal RNA, 1201 nt
Filed under: Lysobacter soli
Lineage: Bacteria; Pseudomonadati; Pseudomonadota; Gammaproteobacteria; Lysobacterales; Lysobacteraceae
Description: bacterial SSU rRNA
Rfam family: Bacterial small subunit ribosomal RNA
Source: RNAcentral
AGGCCUAACACAUGCAAGUCGAACGGCAGCACAGAGGAGCUUGCUCCUUGGGUGGCGAGUGGCGGACGGGUGAGGAAUGCAUCGGAAUCUGCCUAUUUGUGGGGGAUAACGUAGGGAAACUUACGCUAAUACCGCAUACGUCCUACGGGAGAAAGUGGGGGACCUUCGGGCCUCACGCAGAUAGAUGAGCCGAUGCCGGAUUAGCUAGUUGGCGGGGUAAAGGCCCACCAAGGCGACGAUCCGUAGCUGGUCUGAGAGGAUGAUCAGCCACACUGGAACUGAGACACGGUCCAGACUCCUACGGGAGGCAGCAGUGGGGAAUAUUGGACAAUGGGCGCAAGCCUGAUCCAGCCAUGCCGCGUGUGUGAAGAAGGCCUUCGGGUUGUAAAGCACUUUUGUCCGGAAAGAAAAGCGCUCGAUUAAUACUCGGGUGUUAUGACGGUACCGGAAGAAUAAGCACCGGCUAACUUCGUGCCAGCAGCCGCGGUAAUACGAAGGGUGCAAGCGUUACUCGGAAUUACUGGGCGUAAAGCGUGCGUAGGUGGUUUGUUAAGUCUGAUGUGAAAGCCCUGGGCUCAACCUGGGAACUGCAUUGGAUACUGGCUUACUAGAGUGCGGUAGAGGGUAGCGGAAUUCCCGGUGUAGCAGUGAAAUGCGUAGAUAUCGGGAGGAACAUCCGUGGCGAAGGCGGCUACCUGGACCAGCACUGACACUGAGGCACGAAAGCGUGGGGAGCAAACAGGAUUAGAUACCCUGGUAGUCCACGCCCUAAACGAUGCGAACUGGAUGUUGGGUGCAACUAGGCACUCAGUAUCGAAGCUAACGCGUUAAGUUCGCCGCCUGGGAAGUACGGUCGCAAGACUGAAACUCAAAGGAAUUGACGGGGGCCCGCACAAGCGGUGGAGUAUGUGGUUUAAUUCGAUGCAACGCGAAGAACCUUACCUGGCCUUGACAUGCACGGAACUUUCCAGAGAUGGAUUGGUGCCUUCGGGAACCGUGACACAGGUGCUGCAUGGCUGUCGUCAGCUCGUGUCCUGGAAAUGUUGGGUUAAGUCCCGCAACGAGCGCAACCCUUGUCCUUAGUUGCCAGCACGUAAUGGUGGGAACUCUAAGGAGACCGCCGGUGACAAACCGGAGGAAGGUGGGAUGACUUCAAGUCAUCAUGGGCCCUUAGGGCCAGGGCUACACACGUACUACAAUG